AUAUCAUCAGCAUGCCUGCCUCCAGUGAUCCUGUGUGUCCUUUGGAAUCCGAGGCACUCUGUGAACCUUGAUGCAUGAAUGUAGUGAUAGUAACUACUGGUUCAGAGUCUUUUCAUCCUGAUUGCUGGGCUCUUACCAGGUUUCACACGUCUGGGGGCUCCCCGCUGGUUAGCAAGGCAGCCACUAAGAACUCUCUGAAUAGUCAUUUUCCUUUCGGAAACUGCUUAAAGAUGACUCGGGAGGACUUUUAAAUGGAGAAAUGUUCGUAUGCUGAGAUCCUGGCUGGUGACAGAAGGAUGGAAGAAGUGAUGCCUGAAGAUAUAGGAUCUUUUUCAACUUUUAAUCUGGACGACUUUGAAUUAAAGAAAAAAAAGAACAACUGUUCCAUUAUAAUUCAUGUAAAAUCAAGUCCAGGGCCAUGAGGGGCCGAGAUAAAGGGAACAACUAGAAGUAAGUGGAGGAUAUAAUUUCUCAGAAAAUUCUUAUAUUUUCUGUGCCUGGAAAUGGUUUCAAUACACAUCAUAAAAAUGAUAUAAAACUCAAUC
Molecule: long non-coding RNA, 545 nt
Filed under: Homo sapiens (human)
Lineage: Eukaryota; Metazoa; Chordata; Mammalia; Primates; Hominidae
Description: non-protein coding lnc-SLC19A3-4:3
Source: RNAcentral